CAGGCCUAACACAUGCAAGUCGAACGCCCCGCAAGGGGAGUGGCAGACGGGUGAGUAACGCGUGGGAACAUACCCUUCGGUUCGGAAUAACUCAGGGAAACUUGAGCUAAUACCGGAUACGUCCGCGAGGAGAAAGAUUCAUCGCCGAAGGAUUGGCCCGCGUCCGAUUAGCUAGUUGGUGAGGUAAUGGCUCACCAAGGCGACGAUCGGUAGCUGGUCUGAGAGGAUGAUCAGCCACAUUGGGACUGAGACACGGCCCAAACUCCUACGGGAGGCAGCAGUGGGGAAUAUUGGACAAUGGGCGCAAGCCUGAUCCAGCCAUGCCGCGUGAGUGAUGACGGCCCUAGGGUUGUAAAGCUCUUUUACCUGGGAAGAUAAUGACGGUAUCAGGAGAAUAAGCCCCGGCUAACUUCGUGCCAGCAGCCGCGGUAAU
This 433-nucleotide ribosomal RNA is filed under the name uncultured bacterium. RNAcentral's name for it is "bacterial SSU rRNA". It matches the Rfam family "Bacterial small subunit ribosomal RNA", at positions 43 to 524 of the family's 1533-position model. The record is from RNAcentral.